Molecule: long non-coding RNA, 475 nt
Filed under: Cicer arietinum (chickpea)
Lineage: Eukaryota; Viridiplantae; Streptophyta; Magnoliopsida; Fabales; Fabaceae
Description: long non-coding RNA (CARI_LNC002413)
Source: RNAcentral
CUAUGGACAAGUUAAGUAGAGUAUGGACCACACUUGUUUGUGGCAUUGUACUCAUAAGUGAAUUCAGAUAUCUCCUUCGCAAUCAAAAUAUUAUUGAAUUUUUCAUUGUUAGAAUCAAAUGUUUCCUAAACAUCCAGAUCUUUUAGAGAGCAAUGCAAAAAAAUUGAGCUGCCAAUUGAUCCUUACUCGUUAGCCACUUGAGAAUCCAAGAGUUUGAGUGUGACAUGGCUUGAAACAUGUGCAUCAUUUUAGUAGUAAGGACCUAUUUCCGGACAAUGCAUGAAGAGAUGAUCUUGAGAUUUUUCCUUACUUACACCUUUUCGAGCUAGAUUAAUUAUAGUUGGGAGAAUGUUCUUGGAUUCAAUGAGAAUAUGGUAUAUAGAGCCUAGAAAGUAGUUUCCAUCCUGCUCCUAAUGCCAACACAUCUUGUCAACAUAACAUUGUAGUGAAAUAUGUGAGUGUAUGUUUUUUUUAG